This 5825-nucleotide long non-coding RNA is filed under the name Crocodylus porosus (Australian saltwater crocodile). RNAcentral describes it as "lncRNA (ENSCPRG00005009403.1)". The record is from RNAcentral. Lineage: Eukaryota; Metazoa; Chordata; Crocodylia; Crocodylidae.
AGCGACGGCUUCAUUUCCUCAGGCGGGUCCUUCUCCCGAGGACCGAGGCAGCAGGACUCGCAGAGGGACCCGCUUCUGCUGGGACACUGGCUCAGGUCCACACAAGGGCUCAGAAGCAAAUGGGAAGAAGUGAUUCACUUCCCCGGCCUUGCCACAAACCUGGACUGAGCACCGCCGGAGGUCCAGGUGCCUGCUCCUGCAACUUAGCUCCUUUUCUGAGCGCACCCCAUUCUCCGUGAGCUCAUGGACCCCCACACCUCCUCGCCGGAGAGGGCAGAAGGGGCUUGAGGAGGUGCCCCCCCCCCAGCCCCACGGCUGUGGAGGCCUCCUGAUGUAGCUGACAUUUUUUUGUAUCAACUAUGCAUUUCUCCGACGGCAAGGCGAGCAGCAUUGGGGCCUGGAGAACCUGCUUCCCUUUUUUUUAAGAGACAAUCUUGGACCCUUUCUCGGUUGUUGUUUUAUGGCUCAUUUUUAAAUGUUUUUUUUAACGAAUUUCCAACUGAAGUCUUCCUGUGCAACCAUGGACAUGGGCACAGCGGGGAGAGGGCUGCUGCCAUGCCAGCCCACGCACUGGCCUGGGAAGCUAGAGCAGGCGCGGGGCCGCACCGGGGAGUUGCUGUGCCUUGGAAGAGUUCUUUCUAGCAUUUUUAAAAAGGGGCAUCUGUGAAUACAAGCAAUAAUAGCCCGACUCUGCAGUUCCUCCCAGGCGCACGGUUCUGUGCAAAUGUCAGCGCCAUGACGUGGCUCUGUCCUGCAUUACAUGAGAGGGUUCAGGUGCCAGAAGCGAAAAGAAAUGAGGCAACAGCCACGGGGUCUAGAGUCAGUAGGAAGAGAUGUAGCUGGGGGAGAGGGACAGGCCAGGUCUCCAAGCCCCCACCAUGUGCUGACCCAGCGCUCGUGUAUUGUCAAGAGGGGCCUGGCAGUCCGUCCCCCAAGCUACAUCCAGCUCACCCAUGCCCUUGCAGGGGCCACCAGCUGCUGGGCCCCUGACAGGCCCCCACAGAGGAACAAGAAGAGAGCCCUCCAGCACAGCAAGUUCACCCCGCUUUGGCCAUCUCCAUCAGCCCUGCUGCCCGCUGUCACCGAGGGAACAGAGGUCUGGUACGUGUGUGUGUGUGCGCGCGCGCGUGCGUGCGUGCGUGCGUGCGUGUGUGCGAGACCAUGCGUGCAUGUGCACUUAUGCAUGUGUGUGCAUAUGCUUGCUCAUGUGUGCCUGUGCAUGCAUGUGUGUGUGCGUGCAUGCGCGCACGCACUUGUACAUCCCCAGCAACUAAUAAUAGCUCUUGUUGAUGAUACAUUUGUGCCACAACAUUUUCUGUUAACAAAUUAAGCAGCUGUCUGGUGGAGCUGAAGUGAAAACAUUGAUCGUGUCAGACCAAGACAGUCCAUAUGGCGGGAGAUUAUUUUUCUAAGAGGAAGACGGGGCAGGGCAGGCAGGGAAGCAAGCGAACCUCCUGCGUGGGAGCGACUGGGCUCGCUGGUUCUGGCCAGACAGUGUGGUGGAGGUGGAGGUUGGCACUCAUGCAUUUAGUCACGACUGCACCGGCUCCCUCCUGCCCCUGGGACCGUGUUUCUGUACAGUGCAGCUGGCUCGUCGGGUCCCUCCCAUCAGGAGCAGUCUUCGGCCACCUGCCUUCUCAUUAGCCUCCCCGUUCCUUGUGGUAAGCAGAGCUGGCAGGCUCUCCAUCACUGCAGCACACUGAUCCCAUACCCCGCACCCAGAAUUGGACGCUAGUUGGGUGCUUCUCGUUAAGUAGGAUUGGCAUGUUGUUUGUUGUAGCCACGAUGAGCCACGACAUAUGCAAGCAGCAAACAGGGCAUUUUUUUUCAGGGGGCGAUAUCUUUAAUUGGGCCAGCUGAUGAGGUGGGAGAGAUGUUAGACAAGGAUUCGGGCCCAAGCUACCCUUCCUCCGUUCUGCUGUCUGCUUCCUUUCCGGGCCUGCAGAAAGAUGCUGGAAGCUUCAAUAAUAACAGUUCUCCCAGCUUUUACUGGACCAAUUGACUAGCCAUCACUGCUAUGAAGAGGGUUGAGAAGGCAAUGCCAUCUAGCGGUGAAGAACUUGCUGCGAGCAUCACCUUUAACUUGAGCGGCAGGAUGCAGGGAUGAAUGGGGUCUCUCUGCCACUGCCCGGACUCAGUGGCCACAACGGGCAGCGCAGAGUACAUGGAAACAGGGUCUUUGCUUAACCAGUUUUGGGAAAGUACAGGCCUCCUCUGCCUGUGGCACCACGAUCUGCACAGUGAGGGAUAGCGCAUGUGGAUCUGAGGCUUCCCCAGGGCACAGGGCAGCAGGGGCAGGAGGCAAAGGGCCCAUUUCUAUGCACAGCAAAUGCCAUUAGCAACAAGGAGCACGGGGGUAGCCACUGGAGUCAAGAGGAGGCCACUUUGUGCCCAGAGUCCAGGUCAGAAAGACACUUGCCCAUGUAACACUUGGCAGUGCCUCCCUGCAGAACAGCCACUAUCCACAGUCCCCGUCCAGACCAGAUCUGGCCCCCAGGCUUCUGCCCUGCACAGCCAACGUUGCCUCGCUGUUCGGAGGAGCUGCAGCACUGGCUCUUUGCCUGUUUCUAAAAGCCUAGUAUUUUCCCCCCCCUUAUUUAUCUUGCCCUUAGAGGCCACAUUUCCAACCUGGGCUGUUCUCCCUGAGGCCAUGCUGCAGCCCCAGGACCACAGAGACUGUGGAUAGCAAUGGAGCUGGAAGUUUACUAUACCUAGCAGCAGCACCCUCAAAGACACUGCACUGCCCUGGGCAGGCCAUGUCCUAAACCCAGUACUCCAGGCAAACUAAUUAGAACAGCUCAGUGACCAGGCCGAUUAGCCUGCCCUGUGCUAAUUAGCCUGCUGCAGAGCUAUCCUGUGCCCGGAGUAGCACAGCGUGAGAAGGCACCAUGGCUGGACACGACAAGUUUACUGCAUGGAUGCCCUCAGUUCCCCUGGCUGCUGCACUUGCAGCUUGCCAAUGCAUCUGGCCUACAUGCCGACCACAUGGAAAGGUAUGGCCCUGCAGUACGAGCGUGCACAGCCGAGUCAGGAGCCCUACGGUCUUGCUGGCAGCCUUGACCCCUUCCCUCUCUCUGUAUCCACACAACUGCAGCACCUCUUAAGAUGACCACAGGCAGAAGCAUCUCUUGCCCAAUUCCUGAUACAUUUCUUCUUUGAGGCUGUGGGAGAGGAGCAAAGGCCUUGGCUGCUCAGUGGCAAAGCAGAGCGGGUCUCCUUGAGGCAGGACCUGAGCUGAUACUUGUCAUUGUGAUGAGGAUGCUGAUGCUUGGCCCCACAAAUGGUGUUAGAAAAGCCCAUGAGAAAUUGGAAGCAUAAAUAUCAGUGCAAAUUAACCCGCGUGCUUGGAACGCUGGAUCCCAAGCAUUGCCCUCUCCCCAGCGACUCUCCUGCACCCAAGUUCAUUGCCAGGCGCAGCACAUCCUCCAUUCCCCUCCCAGUGUCUCCUGCAUGCCGCCACCCUAAGCUGUGGGCUUCCUUUCUUCCUUCCUGAAUAGCCCUGUGGUCACUUCUGCCCCAGCAAGGGACUGGAGGUCAGGAAGGGAGCCAGUCCUCAAGCAAAUAUCUGGACAAAGAAUUGGAUGCACAGGCUGCUUAUGCAGAUAGCAGCAGGGGGGUCUGUGGGGCUGCAUCCUUCCCCCGUGCCUGCCUCAGGGACUGGUGCAGGGGCAUCAUGCUCCUAAAGGAGCAAAAAAACAACUGUCACCCCCUCCUGCCUGCUGCACAGCCCUGGGAGGCCACAGAUCCCAGCUCCAUCAGACAUGAAAUGCACUGGCACAUGGGCAUCUUCCCUUCAGGGGCUGCCCCUGGCAUCAGCCACUGUACUGGGCUGUUCCCACAGCUCUGCUCAGCAGGAGCAUUAGCCCAAGUGGCCUGGUGCCUCUUAGCAUGUGGAGCAUGGAGGGGUCAUACUUGGCUGUCAGCACUGCGAUGUGGUACCUGAUGAAGUGGGCUCUUCCUGCCUUGAUAGAGCCUUGAGACCUGCCCAAACCAUGGGCUAGUGUUUUAGCCAGGUGCAGAGGUCACCUGGGACAGUGAAGGGACUCCUGGACCAGUUCCCCCUGCCUGCACCUCUGACGUGGCUCUACACAUAUAGCCCCAACGGCCCAAUCUCGGACAGCAGCAUCCAGGCCCCAGCAUCUCUCUAAGGCCCAUGUCCUCGAGACAUGGGCCCUAGAAGCAAACAGACAUGGGUCUGACUCCCGCUUGUACGUUAACCUUCAGAUCCACGUAGGCCAGAUGCUGUACGAAGAGACAAGCACCGAGAAUGGCAGAGUGAAACGGGCCUGUGCUCGGGGCUGUGAUCGUGGUCCACAUCCCUGCUGCAUAUCUUCAGCUGGUCACUGAUAUCACACCAUCCCUCUCCUCUCCCUUGCCAUGUGGCAAGAAGCAGGGCUAAUUGCUAUCCAUUGCUGAAGAUGCCAACAUUUCUGCCCUCGGACUUCCAGCCUGGGAGCUUCUUCCUUUGUUUUCACCCUGUCCCAUCACUGCCUCUGCCUUGGACCCAUGCCCCUGAGCACGCUGAGUUGAUCCUGCCCCCACCCUUCUUCCGAGCUAUGCAUGCCAUUGUCUCCAGAGUCCCUACAGUGUCAUCUCUACAGCAAGUCCUUGUUCAGUGUCUGGUUUUGUCUUUAAUUCUCGGGGGGAGGGGGGAGGCAUGAAAAUGGAGGAGCUGGGAGUUUCCCGCCAGCUCCUGCAGAAGGGUUUCUCAGCCCAGAACAUGCGCAUUUUUAUAUGUAAGAAGCAUGUGAAAUAUAGCUGGGGGAAAAACCAGCGCUGGCUCCUGUGUCAUUUCCUUCCCCCCAACAAGAGGGACGGGGCAGCACGGGGUUUACAAUCCCCAGAGGAUGGAGGGAGCCCCUUUCUGGUGAGGCUGCUCUGCAGUGAGGGCUGCACUCUACCCCAGCUCUGCUCGCGUGACCCGGGGUGAUGGAGGAGGGCUGGGCCCGGCCUGCUUAAUCAGGAGCAAUGUCAUGAGCUUUGCCCCAGGCCACAAGGGAAGAGGGCAACAGCCGCAAGGACUCUGCGGAGACCCUUAAUCUGCACCACCUUGGGCCUGCCCCCAGGGAGGCGUUCGCCCGCCAGCAGCAGGCGAGGUCACACAGCCCCUCACUGGGGCAGAGAAGAGAGCCUGGGGAUGGGCCUGCUGCUUGGGGGCUCUCCACGGUAGUCUCAACCUCAUACCCCGGGGGGCUUCUUGGACCAUUAGGAUUGAGGACAAGGCGAGGCACUAUCUAUCUGCUGUAGCCCCUGCUGUCAGCCUGGCGUCCCUGCAUUCACCCGGUAAAACAAAACAGCAGUCCCACCCCCGCAACAGGCUAGGCUAAGGAUUGAGUUACUCGGCGGGCGGCGGCUGCGUUAGGUAGCAAAGGCUCCUGCAAACCUUCCCCACGCUCCCCCGUCUGUCUGCAGCCACCUGCUGCCUCAUCUCAUACACAGCCAGCUCUCUGCAGCGGUGUCCGUACAGCACCUUGCACACUGUCCCAGGACCAGCGCUCCUUAGUGAAACAUAAUGAGGAAUGCUAAGAAAUGAAAGCGAGUUCAAACCCAGCGUGAUGCUGCACGCACCCUGCACCUACAGACAGCCCCGGCCCCAAAGAGCAGGCAGCCUAAGAGCCUGCCAACAUGGGACACAGGGAGCAGUCCAGGCGAAGAGAGAGAUUUUAAUGUGGAUUCAUCAGCCCCGUGUAGACACGCUUAUUCAGAAGUCAAGCAGCCUUAAUUCAAUUGAGGCUAAUUCUCCUUGGAGAUGAAGGAACAGAAAUUGAAUCAAGAUUGUUUUAAUGGCGAAUAAAAGUGUCUGCACAGGGGCUUAAUAACGGUUA